UACGGGGGGUGCGAGCGUUAAUCGGAAUAACUGGGCGUAAAGGGCACGCAGGCGGACUUUUAAGUGGGGUGUGAAAUCCCCGGGCUUAACCUGGGAAUUGCAUGUCAUACUGGAAGUCUAGAGUACAUGAGGGAGGGGUAGAAUUCCACGUGUAGCGGUGAAAUGCGUAGAGAUGUGGAGGAAUACCGAAGGCGAAGGCAGCCCCUUGGGAAUGUACUGACGCUCAUGUGCGAAAGCGUGGGGAGCAAACAGG
RNAcentral lists this ribosomal RNA (253 nucleotides) under uncultured bacterium. RNAcentral's name for it is "partial 16S ribosomal RNA". It matches the Rfam family "Bacterial small subunit ribosomal RNA", at positions 524 to 776 of the family's 1533-position model. The record is from RNAcentral.